Molecule: unclassified non-coding RNA, 343 nt
Filed under: soil metagenome
Description: partial contains 5.8S ribosomal RNA, internal transcribed spacer 2, and large subunit ribosomal RNA
Rfam family: 5.8S ribosomal RNA (bases 1-120)
Source: RNAcentral
GAUGAAGAACGCAGCGAAAUGCGAUAAGUAAUGUGAAUUGCAGAAUCCAGUGAAUCAUCGAAUCUUUGAACGCACAUUGCGCCCGCCAGCAUUCUGGCGGGCAUGCCUGUUCGAGCGUCAUUUCAACCCUCGACCUCCACUUGGGGAGGUCGGCGUUGGGGACCGGCAGCACACCGCCGGCCCUGAAAUGGAGUGGCGGCCCGUCUGCGGCGACCUCUGCGUAGUAAUACAGCUCGCACCGGAACCCCGACGCGGCCACGCCGUAAAACACCCAACUUCUGAACGUUGACCUCGAAUCAGGUAGGACUACCCGCUGAACUUAAGCAUAUCAAUAAGCGGAGGA